UACGUAGGGACCGAGCGUUGUCCGGAAUCAUUGGGCGUAAAGAGCGCGCAGGCGGUUGUGCAAGUCGCGUGUGAAAGCCCCCGGCUCAACUGGGGAGGGUCACGCGAUACUGCUCAACUCGAAGGCAGGAGAGGGAAGUGGAAUUCCCGGUGUAGUGGUGAAAUGCGUAGAUAUCGGGAGGAACACCAGUGGCGAAGGCGACUUCCUGGCCUGUUCUUGACGCUGAGGCGCGAAAGCUAGGGUAGCAAACGGG
Molecule: ribosomal RNA, 253 nt
Filed under: uncultured bacterium
Lineage: Bacteria
Description: partial 16S ribosomal RNA
Rfam family: Bacterial small subunit ribosomal RNA
Source: RNAcentral